Canis lupus familiaris (dog) is the source of this 1890-nucleotide long non-coding RNA. RefSeq lists it as uncharacterized. The record is from RefSeq and is a predicted model, not a curated record. The transcript has 5 exons. NCBI's taxonomy places the organism in Eukaryota, Metazoa, Chordata, Mammalia, Carnivora, Canidae.
AUGUAUUUUACUACGUGAAAAUGCAAACUCGUGCAUAUGCCCAAAGUGGUGAUGAUAUUAAAAGCCGGGAACAGUCGGUCACAAAUAUUAUAAUUAAGGGAGUUAUGUGUCCGGCUUAUAAAGAACUUACUGAAAUGGAUAAGCAAUGCGUGCAUCCUAACAGAGGCGAAGAGAUGGGCCAAAGGCUUGAGUGCAGAGGUCACCUAUGGGGCGGGCAGUGUGCAGAACGGGGUGUCGGCCCGUGACCUUGAGCCUCACCUCCAGGACUUGCUGGUGUUGGCUGAGCAUCGUCCGCACGUGCACCCCGAGCACUCCAGCAGCCGCCAAAAAUCAUGCUUGAGGCCAAAGAUCUACAGGGGACACAGCCAAUGCUUCCAAAUGCAAGAAGGAAGAAAGACCACACGGAGACAGACGAGAGGUUGCUGAGAGCACCGUGCCCAAGCCGUGCCAGAGCCAGAAUACCAGACAGGGUGGCUGUGCCAGCACUCGCUUGUCAUCUCAGUCCUGGAGGCUGGCAGUGUGAGACGGGCUGGAAGGAAGGAGACAUACAGCCAUUCUCAGACGGAGGGAUGACGAGGAAGCCAACCACACUUGUCUCUAAAGAGUGGCCAAAGGAAGUUCCCUAAGAGUAAGAAAUUAUGAUGGAAAAGGUCUCCUGGAACCUUAGGAAGGAGCCAAGAGCAUUGGCCUGGUAAAACCAGGGGUGGCAUUUCCUAACCCGGAGGAGAAAAGCUCGCCAAUUCAGCACGGCAGCUGGUGAAUCAACAAAUGCAGGCAUUUACUGAGACUUCUGUCCCCUCUGGGGAAGCACCCUGCUCCCAAUCCCUGAGCUUCCCGGGCUGAUUCCUCCCAGUGUGGUGGGGGUGGCUCAGGGCUGACCAGUCAUUGUGUCCUGGCCCCUGGCUGCAGAGAUCUGGAGAUCUGGUGGGGAAUCACCAGGGGACAGGAGGGUGGGGAGAGGGUCCCAGAUGCUUGUGGGAGCUGUGGGGGGUGGGGGUAAGAGAAGCUGCCGCUGCUGGGGACCAUCUGUCCUUACCUUAGGAGGGGAGAAGAUGCAAAAGCUGAAGGACAGAGACACUGAUGUGUUGAGCCGCCCCCAUCCCCAAGCACACCUGGCCUUUCAACAAGGUGAACCCCAAGGACAACAAUCUAGAGGCAGCACGAGGAUUCUCACUUGGCAGGUGCAGAAACAGUCCAAAGAAAGAGUUCUUUUGAGUUCUGCUUCUGGGAUCUCACCACUGGACAGGCUUAUUCAAUCAAGCCCCUUCCUGCCCCUGGUACUUUCUCGGUAGUUGACCCCCACGUCUGUGGCAUAGAUCUAAAGCUAGUGCUGCCAGACAAAAUACAGGAUGCCCCCUUAAAUUUGAAUUUUGGAUGAACAAUGAAUAAUUUCUUAGCAUAAGUAGGUCUCAUAUUGCAUGGACAUAUGUAUACUAAAAAGUAUGUUGCUUAUCUGAAAUUCAAAUUUCACUGGGCAGGUCAGGCUUUUGUUUGCUUAAACUUAAUAGCACUGUCUAAGGCGCAAAGGGAGAUGCAGCAAAAAGGGGAAGGCCACCUUCCUAGGAGGAGCAGAGUUAGGUCAGGGGGUUGGACGCAAGAAGCAGUCUUGAAGAAUCAUCCUCCUGUCUCCUGCCAGAGUGCCCACAUCAGCCAUAAAGGUGGUCAUCACAACGUUUUGCCCGUCAGGUCAAGUGAAAACGUGACCUGGAGUGAAAAUGUAUUAACCAUCAACAGUCUAGUGUGAAUUAGUUUACAAAAAUGUGCAUUUAGGGCAGCCCCAGUGGCCCAGUGGUUUAGCGCCGCCUUCAGCCUGGGGUGUGAUCCUGGAGACCCGGGAUCGAGUCCCACAUCGGGCUCCCUGCAUGGAGCCUGCUUCUCCCUCUGCCUGUG